RNAcentral lists this ribosomal RNA (543 nucleotides) under Gilbertaria holomeloides. Its description in RNAcentral is "SSU rRNA". It matches the Rfam family "Bacterial small subunit ribosomal RNA", at positions 577 to 1141 of the family's 1533-position model. Lineage: Eukaryota; Fungi; Ascomycota; Lecanoromycetes; Lecanorales; Sphaerophoraceae. The record is from RNAcentral.
GGUAAAUCAAGCCAUACAAGGGACUAAUUUGCUAGAGUUACUUAUGAGGGGGUUAUAAUGUACUAGUGGUGUAGAGAUAGAAUUUUUUGAUACCUUUUUCCUAGAGAAGACAUAUGGCACAGAUAUAGGCGAAAGCGUCUCCUUAUGUGAUAACUGACGUUGAGGGACGAAGGCUCUUGGUAGCGAAUAGGAUUAGAUACCCUAGUAGUCGGAGCAGAAAAUGAUGAAUGUCAUAGAUUAGACUAAGUUUAUUCUAUAAAUGAAAGUGUAAGCAUUCCACCUCAAGAGUAAUUUGGCAACAUUGGAACUGAAAUCAUUAGACCGUUUCUGAAACCAGUAGUGAAGUAUGUUGUUUAAUUUGAUAAUCCGCAAAAAACCUUACCAUAACUUCAAUAGCCCGAAUUUUUAAAAUAAUUUGGGUAUCUAUGAUUUAAAUAAAAGCGUUGCACGGCUGUCUUCAGUUAAUGUCGUGAGACUUUGGUUAACUCCAGUAAAUUAACGUAAACCCUUACUUUAUUUUUACAUAAAGUUGUUCCCCACUAU